AGCGAUGAACCGCCGCCGCGUUAUUAUGGCCGCGCCAUAGUAAUGAGGAAAGUCCGGGCUCCGCAGGGCAUGAUGCCGGCUAACGGCCGGGGAUUUUGCCGCUUGGCUUCUUGCUAAAGCGGCGGAUUACAGAUAGCGCAGCAGAAAAUAUACCGCUGCUUGUUUUAUAACGGGCAGUACGGGUGAAAUGGCGGGGUAAAAGCCCACCGCGGAAUUGGCGACAAUUCCGGCAUGGCAAACCUCAUCAGGAGCAAAGCUAAACAGCGGUUGAGCGCCCACUCUAUAACCGCGGGUAAGCUGCAUGGAAACUUGCUGGCAACAGCCUGUUCAAGAUAGAUGGCGGCAGCCUUUCCGCCGGAAAGUUCUUUUCAAUGAAAAGUCCUUUCCGGCGGAAAGGACACAGAAUCCGGCUUACGGUUCAUCGCUUUUU
This 430-nucleotide RNase P RNA is filed under the name Spirochaetaceae bacterium. RNAcentral describes it as "RNase P RNA component class A". It matches the Rfam family "Bacterial RNase P class A". From Rfam's summary of the family: Ribonuclease P (RNase P) is a ubiquitous endoribonuclease, found in archaea, bacteria and eukarya as well as chloroplasts and mitochondria. Its best characterised activity is the generation of mature 5'-ends of tRNAs by cleaving the 5'-leader elements of precursor-tRNAs. The record is from RNAcentral. Lineage: Bacteria; Pseudomonadati; Spirochaetota; Spirochaetia; Spirochaetales; Spirochaetaceae.